Long non-coding RNA from Eleginops maclovinus (Patagonian blennie), 1758 nucleotides. RefSeq lists it as uncharacterized. Lineage: Eukaryota; Metazoa; Chordata; Actinopteri; Perciformes; Eleginopidae. The record is from RefSeq and is a predicted model, not a curated record. The transcript has 2 exons.
CCGGACGCCGUGCGUGGUGCAUACCAUACAACUUGUGGUCCACAUGUUGCAGAAAGAAACAACUGUCAAAAGAGUCCUCGAUAAAGCAAGAACACACUAAAACCCUCCAGAGUGACACCACAUCUAUGUCCCUAGUGGUUCCUGCCCUCUUUGAUCUGCUGAGCCACCUAGCUGACUUUGCAGAGAACAGCCGGUACAGAGACCUCGCCACUCUUGCAGAGAAAAUGAGAUCAAAUCUGAACCUGCGUUUUGCUUGCCUCUUGGAUCCAACCGAUGAAAAGUUCUCACCACUUGCAGCAGCUGCCUGCUUUGUCAACCCAACUGUCUGUGAAAUCCUUGUUAAUGUUGAUGUAGCUGAUGGAAAUAUCCAGGAACUGCUGAAACAGGCAGAAGACUAUGUGGUCAAAUGCACUUUCCUCCCACACACAAGACAGGAGGACCACCAGUCUGACGAUGAUGCAGAAGAAGUCAUUGAGGAACCAGAACCAGCGCCAUCUUCAAAGCAGCCGGUGUUUAGGUUCCUCUCAAAAUGCCGCACCACAAGACCUAAACAGAAAACCUCCACAACCAGCGUCAGGCAGCAGAUCAUUAAGUACAAGGAAGAACUUUCACAUCCCAUCACUGAGGACACAGGAACAGACUUCUGGCUGGAAAAGAGUGACAGUUUUUAUCACAGUUUAAAACCUUUUGCUUUGGACUUGUUGGCUAUGCCAGCUUCUCAAGCUUUUGCAGAGAGAGUAUUCAGCAUCACAGGUGACCUCACAAGAGGACGGCGCAACAGAGGAAGGGUCAGCUUGGAGCGAAGUGCUUUCCUUAAAAUGAACAGAAACAAAUAGAACUGUUGUAUUCACUGCUAUUUACAGCAUUACAGCUGUAGCAGUAUAUGCACAACUUAGAGUUUCCGGUCUGGUAUUUGUUUUGUUUUUUGUUUAAUAUGAGAGCAGAGAGAUUUUUCUUGUUCCAUGCAAUAAUGGCAUUACAGCUGAGCAUGUAAUUCACUUGUCUUGAGUUGAGCUCCUUGAUACUAGCUCAUUGAUACUACUUCGAAUUAUUAACAGAAGAAUAUUUUGUUUUGUGUGCAAUGACAUUUCAACCAAUGCAUAUUUUCUUUUAGGCUACAUAUGUUUUGUUUUUCCUUUUCAAAUCUAAGUGAUUUUGCUCACAAUGCACAGAGUAAUAGUUGAUGACUAAGAAGAUGAUGCUUAGUUACAGAGUUGUGUGCUUUUUAGUUUAAUGUGAUAUUUACCUGUAUUUUAAAUGCUGAGACAGCACAGCAGGGUGUUUUUUUUUUUCAUUUACUUGAACAUUAAGGAGUAUUACAGCCAAUACAUCUUUUAUUCUACUUUUGAGAAUUCUUGUUGAUUUUGUAAGGCAUUGUAGCCUAACAGUAAUUUAAGUUAUCUUGAGGUACAGUACGUGAACGUUAUCAGUAGUGCAUUUUCUGUAUCUACCUUGUGCAAUGGCAUUACAACCAAUAGUUGUAUUAUUAUUUUUGAGAAUUGCACUUUAUUUAUUUGUUUAUUUUUUUUGAGUUAGGUGAUUUAUUCUUUCAAGAUGAAAGACAAUAUUAUUGAAAUAGAUGUCAUAUGCAAUACAUAUCAUUCAAGGAGAAUGCAUAUCUUUUUCAGGGAGCAUGUAUAUUUUUCAGGGAGAGCAGGCCUUAUGCUAACUUUAUUUGAGAUUAUCUUUUGUGAAAAAGCCAUGGUCAGUGUUUUUGACAUUAAAAGUAAAAUAAAAUACAUGUUUUGUUCUGUUAAA